This is a non-coding RNA of Acanthosepion pharaonis, 113 nucleotides long. The record is from the annotation of a GenBank genome assembly. NCBI's taxonomy places the organism in Eukaryota, Metazoa, Mollusca, Cephalopoda, Sepiida, Sepiidae.
UUACGGCCACAUCACGUUGAAACACCGGUUACCAUGAGAUCACCGAAGUUAAGCAAUGUCGAGCCUGUCAGUAUCUAGAUGGGUGAGCACUUGGGAAUAGCAGGUGCUGUAGG